UUUUAGUUUUUUAAGGACCCUCCAUACCGUUCUCCAUAGUGUCUGCACUAAUUUGCACUCCCGCCCACAGUGUAGGAAUGUUCUCUUCUC
Non-coding RNA from Vicugna pacos (alpaca), 90 nucleotides. NCBI's taxonomy places the organism in Eukaryota, Metazoa, Chordata, Mammalia, Artiodactyla, Camelidae. The record is from RefSeq and is a predicted model, not a curated record.